RNAcentral lists this ribosomal RNA (1552 nucleotides) under Escherichia coli. Its description in RNAcentral is "16S ribosomal RNA". It matches the Rfam family "Bacterial small subunit ribosomal RNA". The record is from RNAcentral. Lineage: Bacteria; Pseudomonadati; Pseudomonadota; Gammaproteobacteria; Enterobacterales; Enterobacteriaceae.
AAAUUGAAGAGUUUGAUCAUGGCUCAGAUUGAACGCUGGCGGCAGGCCUAACACAUGCAAGUCGAACGGUAACAGGAAGAAGCUUGCUUCUUUGCUGACGAGUGGCGGACGGGUGAGUAAUGUCUGGGAAACUGCCUGAUGGAGGGGGAUAACUACUGGAAACGGUAGCUAAUACCGCAUAACGUCGCAAGACCAAAGAGGGGGACCUUCGGGCCUCUUGCCAUCGGAUGUGCCCAGAUGGGAUUAGCUUGUUGGUGGGGUAACGGCUCACCAAGGCGACGAUCCCUAGCUGGUCUGAGAGGAUGACCAGCCACACUGGAACUGAGACACGGUCCAGACUCCUACGGGAGGCAGCAGUGGGGAAUAUUGCACAAUGGGCGCAAGCCUGAUGCAGCCAUGCCGCGUGUAUGAAGAAGGCCUUCGGGUUGUAAAGUACUUUCAGCGGGGAGGAAGGGAGUAAAGUUAAUACCUUUGCUCAUUGACGUUACCCGCAGAAGAAGCACCGGCUAACUCCGUGCCAGCAGCCGCGGUAAUACGGAGGGUGCAAGCGUUAAUCGGAAUUACUGGGCGUAAAGCGCACGCAGGCGGUUUGUUAAGUCAGAUGUGAAAUCCCCGGGCUCAACCUGGGAACUGCAUCUGAUACUGGCAAGCUUGAGUCUCGUAGGGGGGUAGAAUUCCGGUGUAGCGGUGAAAUGCGUAGAGAUCUGGAGGAAUACCGGUGGCGAAGGCGGCCCCCUGGACGAAGACUGACGCUCAGGUGCGAAAGCGUGGGGAGCAAACAGGAUUAGAUACCCUGGUAGUCCACGCCGUAAACGAUGUCGACUUGGAGGUUGUGCCCUUGAGGCGUGGCUUCCGGAGCUAACGCGUUAAGUCGACCGCCUGGGGAGUACGGCCGCAAGGUUAAAACUCAAAUGAAUUGACGGGGGGGCCCGCACAAGCGGUGGAGCAUGUGGUUUAAUUCGAUGCAACGCGAAGAACCUUACCUGGUCUUGACAUCCACAGAACUUUCCAGAGAUGGAUUGGUGCCUUCGGGAACUGUGAGACAGGUGCUGCAUGGCUGUCGUCAGCUCGUGUUGUGAAAUGUUGGGUUAAGUCCCGCAACGAGCGCAACCCUUAUCCUUUGUUGCCAGCGGUCCGGCCGGGAACUCAAAGGAGACUGCCAGUGAUAAACUGGAGGAAGGUGGGGAUGACGUCAAGUCAUCAUGGCCCUUACGACCAGGGCUACACACGUGCUACAAUGGCGCAUACAAGAGAAGCGACCUCGCGAGAGCAAGCGGACCUCAUAAAGUGCGUCGUAGUCCGGAUUGGAGUCUGCAACUCGACUCCAUGAAGUCGGAAUCGCUAGUAAUCGUGGAUCAGAAUGCCACGGUGAAUACGUUCCCGGGCCUUGUACACACCGCCCGUCACACCAUGGGAGUGGGUUGCAAAAGAAGUAGGUAGCUUAACCUUCGGGAGGGCGCUUACCACUUUGUGAUUCAUGACUGGGGUGAAGUCGUAACAAGGUAACCGUAGGGGAACCUGCGGUUGGAUCACCUCCUUACCUUAAAGAAGC